GCCCGGUUUGCAUAAUUAGUAAUGCGUCCGUUUUGUAAUCGGUUGAUAUGAGUGCAAAUCUCGUACUGGGCU
RNAcentral lists this transfer RNA (72 nucleotides) under Phyllosticta yuccae. RNAcentral's name for it is "tRNA-Thr". It matches the Rfam family "tRNA". Rfam says of the family: Transfer RNA (tRNA) molecules are approximately 80 nucleotides in length. Lineage: Eukaryota; Fungi; Ascomycota; Dothideomycetes; Botryosphaeriales; Phyllostictaceae. The record is from RNAcentral.